RNAcentral lists this ribosomal RNA (604 nucleotides) under uncultured Gammaproteobacteria bacterium. Its description in RNAcentral is "bacterial SSU rRNA". It matches the Rfam family "Bacterial small subunit ribosomal RNA", at positions 55 to 648 of the family's 1533-position model. The record is from RNAcentral. Lineage: Bacteria; Pseudomonadati; Pseudomonadota; Gammaproteobacteria.
AUGCAAGUCGAACGGUAACAGGAAACAGCUUGCUGUUUCGCUGACGAGUGGCGGACGGGUGAGUAAUGUCUGGGAAACUGCCUGAUGGAGGGGGAUAACUACUGGAAACGGUAGCUAAUACCGCAUAACGUCGCAAGACCAAAGAGGGGGACCUUCGGGCCUCUUGCCAUCGGAUGUGCCCAGAUGGGAUUAGCUAGUAGGUGGGGUAACGGCUCACCUAGGCGACGAUCCCUAGCUGGUCUGAGAGGAUGACCAGCCACACUGGAACUGAGACACGGUCCAGACUCCUACGGGAGGCAGCAGUGGAGAAUAUUGCACAAUGGGCGCAAGCCUGAUGCAGCCAUGCCGCGUGUAUGAAGAAGGCCUUCGGGUUGUAAAGUACUUUCAGCGGGGAUGAAGGGAGUAAAGUUAAUACCUUUGCUCAUUGACGUUACCCGCAGAAGAAGCACCGGCUAACUCCGUGCCAGCAGCCGCGGUAAUACGGAGGGUGCAAGCGUUAAUCGGAAUUACUGGGCGUAAAGCGCACGCAGGCGGUUUGCUAAGUCAGAUGUGAAAUCCCCGGGCUCAACCUGGGAACUGCAUCUGAUACUGGCAAGCUUGAGUC